GCCGAGAUAGCUCAGUUGGUAGAGCGCAGGACUGAAAAUUCUGGCGUCGACAGUUCAAGUCUGUCUCUCGGCACCA
RNAcentral lists this transfer RNA (76 nucleotides) under Candidatus Firestonebacteria bacterium GWA2_43_8. RNAcentral describes it as "tRNA-Phe". It matches the Rfam family "tRNA". From Rfam's summary of the family: Transfer RNA (tRNA) molecules are approximately 80 nucleotides in length. Their secondary structure includes four short double-helical elements and three loops (D, anti-codon, and T loops). The record is from RNAcentral. Lineage: Bacteria; Candidatus Firestoneibacteriota. RNAcentral also lists the same sequence under 2 other names.